This 145-nucleotide ribosomal RNA is filed under the name Nephroselmis pyriformis. RNAcentral's name for it is "5.8S ribosomal RNA". It matches the Rfam family "5.8S ribosomal RNA", at positions 1 to 137 of the family's 154-position model. From Rfam's summary of the family: 5.8S ribosomal RNA (5.8S rRNA) is a component of the large subunit of the eukaryotic ribosome. It is transcribed by RNA polymerase I as part of the 45S precursor that also contains 18S and 28S rRNA. The record is from RNAcentral. Lineage: Eukaryota; Viridiplantae; Chlorophyta; Nephroselmidophyceae; Nephroselmidales; Nephroselmidaceae.
AGACAACUCUCAACAACGGAUAUCUUGGCUCUCGCAACGAUGAAGAACGCACGCCGAAAUGCGAUACGUAGUGUGAAUUGCAGAAUUCCGUGAAUCAUCAAAGUCUUUGUAACGCAUAUUGCGCUGAAGGCCUCGGCCAACAGCA